This 544-nucleotide ribosomal RNA is filed under the name uncultured bacterium. Its description in RNAcentral is "bacterial SSU rRNA". It matches the Rfam family "Bacterial small subunit ribosomal RNA", at positions 777 to 1320 of the family's 1533-position model. The record is from RNAcentral.
AAUAGAUACCCCGGUAGUCCACGCCGUAAACGAUGUCGACUUGGAGGUUGUUCCCUUGAGGAGUGGCUUCCGGAGCUAACGCGUUAAGUCGACCGCCUGGGGAGUACGGCCGCAAGGUUAAAACUCAAAUGAAUUGACGGGGGCCCGCACAAGCGGUGGAGCAUGUGGUUUAAUUCGAUGCAACGCGAAGAACCUUACCUACUCUUGACAUCCAGAGAACUUUCCAGAGAUGGAUUGGUGCCUUCGGGAACUCUGAGACAGGUGCUGCAUGGCUGUCGUCAGCUCGUGUUGUGAAAUGUUGGGUUAAGUCCCGCAACGAGCGCAACCCUUAUCCUUUGUUGCCAGCGGUUUCGGCCGGGAACUCAAAGGAGACUGCCAGUGAUAAACUGGAGGAAGGUGGGGAUGACGUCAAGUCAUCAUGGCCCUUACGAGUAGGGCUACACACGUGCUACAAUGGCGUAUACAAAGAGAAGCGACCUCGCGAGAGCAAGCGGACCUCAUAAAGUACGUCGUAGUCCGGAUUGGAGUCUGCAACUCGACUCCG